AUGGCGAUCAGGGAAGGUUUGUCCCUAGCUCAAGACUUGAACUUGCAUCGGAUUCAUCUAGCGUUAGAUUGUCGAGGCGUCGUGGAAGAAAUUCAUCGUGGAAGUGGUUCCGUCUAUGGGGCGGUCAUUCAGGAGAUUAGAUUUAAUUCUACUACUUUUACUUCAUGUAACAUAGUCGAUGAAUUUAGGAGCUCAAAUAUUGAGGCUCACAAUCUAGCGAAGCAUGCAUUGAGGUUAGGGCCUGGCCAACAUGUUUGGUUAGGACGGCCGACCGAUAUUCCUUUUAUCCGUGUAAACGUGGUGACGGUUGAAUAA
This 315-nucleotide ribosomal RNA is filed under the name Triticum aestivum (bread wheat). RNAcentral's name for it is "partial small subunit ribosomal RNA". Lineage: Eukaryota; Viridiplantae; Streptophyta; Magnoliopsida; Poales; Poaceae. The record is from RNAcentral.